Molecule: transfer RNA, 58 nt
Filed under: Apaloderma vittatum (bar-tailed trogon)
Lineage: Eukaryota; Metazoa; Chordata; Aves; Trogoniformes; Trogonidae
Rfam family: tRNA
About the family: Transfer RNA (tRNA) molecules are approximately 80 nucleotides in length.
Source: Rfam by way of RNAcentral
AGCUCAGUCAGUUAGAGCAUGGUGCUGAUAACGCCAAGGUCGUGGGUUCGAUUCCCGU